This 253-nucleotide ribosomal RNA is filed under the name uncultured bacterium. Its description in RNAcentral is "partial 16S ribosomal RNA". It matches the Rfam family "Bacterial small subunit ribosomal RNA", at positions 524 to 776 of the family's 1533-position model. The record is from RNAcentral.
UACGUAGGGGGCAAGCGUUGUCCGGAAUCAUUGGGCGUAAAGCGCGUGUAGGCGGGUCGGUAAGUCCGCUCUGAAAGCCCGGGGCUCAACCCCGGGAGGCGGGUGGAUACUGUCGACCUCGAGUCCGGAAGAGGCGAGUGGAAUUCCUGGUGUAGCGGUGAAAUGCGCAGAUAUCAGGAGGAACACCAAUGGCGAAGGCAGCCCCCUGGGCUAACACUGACGCUCAUGCACGAAAGCGUGGGGAGCAAACAGG